UCCCAAGCCUCAUCAGCUGGCCUCAAAAAGGCUGCCAGGUCCUGGUAGCUGCCUCAAGUGGCCUCAAAACAGAAAACCUGCAUGCCAAAAUCCCCCACUCCACUGCAGGAUGAAUCUGCCCAGAGCCCAUCGCCUUACUCCAUAAGAACGAUCACUGGCAGCACUUAUGUGAAAAGUAUUCUGUGUGCAUGGGCUGAUCUCUCAGGCUGACUUCUGGAAACCAUGCAGCAAUUUUGUACGGCUUUUAACUCUUAGUGAGAAUGAAACGAAGAGGAUCUAAUGAGCGAGGCUCUUUGCACACCUGGAACUGGAGGAGACAAUAUUGCCCUGGUUGAGCUGGGUACUACUGCACAGCAGGCAAGGUGGUGGAAAAGAAGCUGUGAGUGGGAUUCAGCUGCAGAUUGAAGACUCUGCUGAUUAAAUCUACACACAGAUGCUACCUGUGAAUAGUUUCAGACUCCUGAAAGGCCCGAAACUACGAGGCAUUCGUCUUUGAAGCCAGUCUAUAAUGGAAGGUGAUGUCGAGAAGUCAUUAUCUGUCACUCAGGAAAACUUCAUGACAGGCAGACUGCCUGGCUUCUGACAUGGCACUUGGCUGGAGCGGAUGGAAAAAUAGAAGCUUGCACAGAAAGCCUGAAAUACAUGGUCUGAUUUUUCAGAAUUGGGUAAUCGGUGCUUGUGCAAGAAGCUCCUUUGGUAACUGCUCCGGGGAAGAAAGGCUUGGUCGUGAGAUGUGCUGAGUGCCCUUGGUGUUCGUCAUGUUUAAGGAUGCUCAGCAGCUGGAGAGCGUGCUGUGGACAAGGCUUUAACCUCUCUGGUUCCAGUUUGAGGUACUCCACAUUUGAAAACCUAUCCUUUCAUAUGAGGGCGUCACAUGGAGAAAUUCAGUCGUGAUUUACAGAUUUGUUUCCUCACUGAAAACACAGAGUGGUGCCUGAUAGAAUUACACGAAAGCAUUAAGAUUUCUUGUUGUCAGCUCCAACCUUCCUCUUCUACCCCAUUGGAACAAAGAAGUAAAAAAAUCCCUCUGAAAGGCGGUUGCAUGAAUGGCCAUUGAUUAAAGUGCUUGGGUAAGUCUUCCAGAGGAGUGUGAAAUGUCCCCUCUGUGGCCUGAAAUGGGCUCGGUUACAAUGUUAUGGACAUGUUUAGUAAAUCUUGUCUUGAUUUAAAAAUCAUCACGUCUGCCGUUCCUGAAUGCCAACACUCUCAUUUUGCACUUUGAAACAUAAAUGACUGCACAUUAAUGCAGCAACCUCAUACUGCAAAGUGUAGAUGUUUCCAUCUUUAAUAACAUUAGAGAUAAAGACAAGUGAC
Non-coding RNA from Anas platyrhynchos (mallard), 1314 nucleotides. The record is from RefSeq and is a predicted model, not a curated record. NCBI's taxonomy places the organism in Eukaryota, Metazoa, Chordata, Aves, Anseriformes, Anatidae.